This 525-nucleotide ribosomal RNA is filed under the name Triticum aestivum (bread wheat). Its description in RNAcentral is "partial small subunit ribosomal RNA". Lineage: Eukaryota; Viridiplantae; Streptophyta; Magnoliopsida; Poales; Poaceae. The record is from RNAcentral.
AUGAUGCUUGUUGACAACUCUAGUGAUGAAUACUACGAUGAAACAUCAAUUAAUCAUGCUAAUCAAGAUAAAACGAAUGGCAAUGAUAAGGAGAAGAUUGAGCUCCUAACUAAAGAACUAAACACUCUUAAGUUAGCUCAUGAAACUAUCUUAGGAGGUCAUCGAGAACUUUUAAGGACUCAUGAGAAGUUACGCUUUGAAAAGCUCAACCUUGAGCAAGAGCAUGAGUUCUUAAAGGCAAUCAAUGAUGAUCUUCGCAAGAAAAGUUCUUCUUACAUUGCCAAGCGUUUACUCUUAUCUGCUUACAUGCCCCAAGUCAAGUCUAGUAAUAAGAACAAGAAAGAUUAUUCCUCUAGUAUUAACAAUAAUCAUGCUAAAUCCAAUAUUGUUGCUUCUAGUAGUUCUUUUGAUUCCACUAAUGAUUCUCUUAGCCAAGUUACACAUGAGCAAGAAAAUAGCUUAUUGAAGGGAAUUAUAGAGAAAGGUGUUUACAAGAGUGUAGCGACCAGACCUCAAACAGUCUGA